Ochotona princeps (American pika) is the source of this 1022-nucleotide long non-coding RNA. RefSeq lists it as uncharacterized. The transcript is spliced from 3 exons. The record is from RefSeq and is a predicted model, not a curated record. Lineage: Eukaryota; Metazoa; Chordata; Mammalia; Lagomorpha; Ochotonidae.
CCACUAGCGAAGUCCUGCGGUCCUGACCCAACACUGAUGUGCACAUGCUGAGGUCUACAAUGGCUCUCUUCUAGGGAACUCUGCUCCUGACACCUGCCAUAUGUCGUAAAACAGGAUCUCAGGCCCCACCCAGAACUGCGGGAUUAACAGGCUGCAUUUUAACAGGCUCUCCGGGUGAGUUGUAAGCAUGUCUCCGAAGCCCAGCCUGUGAUGGAGGAAGACAGGUAUUGAAGAAGUAGAGACAGAUUGAGCAGGUUUUGAGAUUGGAAAAGAGGGUUACCAGCUAAUAGUAGAUAGAGGAGCAUAGGAGCAUGGAGUUACCCCUGGAGCCUCAGUUUCCCUGGGGCUUUGGAAACCAGCAGCUUGUUUCGGUCUUUGGCUCUCCACUGGAGAAAUGGAGAGCUAGUCAUUGCUUCCCAGUGACUAAGGCCUCUUCCACUCUGUCAGCCUCUUAUAAUGCUGGGAAUAUAGAUUUGGAAAGGCCCUUGAAGGAUGAACAUGGUCAAGCAGGACCUUAAGGAACCAAAAGGGAACCGAACUAAGACUGAAAGAGACCGAAUGACUUGGCCUCAUGACUGCCGUGGGAGGGGCAGCCUGAUGUCCUGCUGAGCCCCUCGGAUGCGGACAUCAGGGCAAACUCAAACCUGGAGAAUGUGAAAGCAGUCUCCUACAAGUGUAUAGUCUUCUUCUGUGUCACUUGUCCUUCAGCCUUCCUGCCCCUUCAGGAAAGUUCUCCAGCCAGAAGUGAUGACCUCUUGAGUCCCAAGCCAGACAGAGGGGACUGUGCCAAUCUGGGAUCUGGGAUGCUGUUCACUUCAGAGCCCUAUUGGGCUGCCUCCUUUCACUGACUCUGUCCCAGGAAAGCUGCUCAGGGGCCUGUUUUGCAGAAAGGAUAAACUGUAGGGGGAAGAGCAGCUCCACUGGUGAGCAAAAGAAACAGCCAGCUCAGAGCCUUUAAAAUGUAAAGUGUUCUCUUGAGCUUCUGCAAAGAUCUGAUUUGUAAGAGAUCAAAGUCAGAAAAU